This 1663-nucleotide long non-coding RNA is filed under the name Elaeis guineensis (African oil palm). RNAcentral describes it as "long non-coding RNA (EGUI_LNC021432)". Lineage: Eukaryota; Viridiplantae; Streptophyta; Magnoliopsida; Arecales; Arecaceae. The record is from RNAcentral.
GAUGUUUAUACAUAUAUUGAUAUAUAUUUUUGAUUAUUUUAUAUCUGAAAAUGAUGUAUAUGAUACAUGGUUUGUACACCCAUGGUCUAAAACUUACUUUUCAGUCAAAUCUUAGAUCUAAAACCAUAGGAUCUUUAUUUUUGUUGCAUGGUAAAGUUGUUUAGAUUUGAAAAUUAUUUCUUAUCUAAAUUGAAACUUUAAAUGAUGCAAAGCAAAUAUGAAAUUACGACUGGUCCAUAAUGCAUAAUGCACUUAAUUAAGAAUUAAGAUUUGAAUUUAAAGGAUCUAAAAUUGUGAAUUCAGGAUCUAAAUUUUAAUUGCAUAAAACAUGGACUUGGAUAUAGGUUGAACCAAUUAGGUCUAAAGAUUAACUACAAUAGGAUCCAUGAUUAGAUCAGGUUAGAACCUUUUUUUCAAUUUUGAGUAGUUGAUCGAACACAAUCAGAUAUUGAUGGGUUUGAGUUAAUAGGGGCUCAAAAUUGAGAUUAGUUGUAGUUGAUCAAUCGAUUCGUACUUGAUGUAAAUUGAUUAUCUCAAGACUGAAUUUGGCUCCUUGGUUGGAGCUUGAAUAAUUAAGUCAAUGGAUUUGAUUCUAAUAGACCAUUUGGUGUCUAAGGUAAGUUUGACAUUCCUGACCGGUGGUCUUUAAUUGAGAGCUACUCACAUAGAUGACAUCUAUGGUGAGUUAAUGGCAUAUUCCUCCCAUCGAUCUCACUUACCUAGUCAUUUGGUAGAUUAUGGAUUGAGUCUAGUUGAUUAGUGAUUCGUAUUCACCCAUGCCAACUAGAUGGGCCAAACAUAAGAUGGGCUGACCUAAACCAGUUUAGUUAUUACAUUUAAUGUAUGUGACUAAGUAGAUGAGACCUAAAUUAAAUCUCUUCGAUUGAAUAUUAUGUCUAGCGGUCUUCCAUCAUUGUAGAGAUGUGGAUGCCUUUCCUAACGUUGAUCGUUCUCGAUUGGUUACAGUGGUUUGAUUGUAUCAGAGAGGCACAACCACUCUAUUGACAUCUGAUGCCCCGAGAUGAAGAUGGGGUUGGACUCAAUAACUAUUAGGUGAGGGAUCCAACGAUGGCUCUACAUCCACUUGUGAAUGAUGGGUCAGACUUAACUAAAAAAUGUACCAAUAACUGUUAGGUGAGACUACAGGACUUAGAGAUCAAGUCGCUGCAACAUGUUUGGAGAAGCAUCUGGACAAAGAGUUAUCCACACAUUGGUGUACGUGUCCUCAAAAAUUGUUAGGUAAGGUGCUGUACAUCGAUGAGACCACAGUACCCACUAGAACCACUUAUCGCAUUAGAGUUUCUAUUUCUCGACCCGAAGAGUAUGAGAGAUUCAAAAAAUUAGUGGGAGCCUUUGGUUAUUUUUUAAGUCUCUAGAAUAAAUUUUUACAAGUACAAUCAUCUGAUUAAAUCUUUACUCUCUGUAGUUAAUUCUGUCAGCUUCCAACCCUUUAGUUUGAAUCCUAGAUGUCAACCAUUUAACUGAAACCAAUUACAUAUUCUGGUUCAAAAACCUAAGAAUAGUUCUUAAUUUUUAAAAAUUAAGUCAUGUUCUUGACUAGAUUAACCCAAUGUCAUUAACUUAUCCAAUCCACAGUCAACAAGCUAUACUUGAUAAAUGGUUAGAUAUUGACAAUUAGAUUAGGUACUAUAAAUUGGAGUCC